AGUAAAUAGAUACCGGGUAGUCCACGCCGUAAACGAUGAGUACUAGGUGUAGGAGGUAUCGACUCCUUCUGUGCCGCAGUUAAACACAAUAAGUACUCCGCCUGGGAAGUACGGUCGCAAGAUCAAAACUCAAAGGAAUUGACGGGGGCCCGCACAAGCAGCGGAGCAUGUGGUUUAAUUCGAAGCAACGCGAAGAACCUUACCUAGACUUGACAUCCCCUGAAUAACGUAGAGAUACGCGAAGCCCUUCGGGGCAGGGAGACAGGUGGUGCAUGGUUGUCGUCAGCUCGUGUCGUGAGAUGUUGGGUUAAGUCCCGCAACGAGCGCAACCCUUAUCAUUAGUUGCUACCAUUUAGUUGAGCGCUCUAGUGAGACUGCCCGGGUUAACCGGGAGGAAGGCGGGGAUGACGUCAAAUCAUCAUGCCCCUUAUGUCUAGGGCUACACACGUGCUACAAUGGUGAGAACAACGAGAUGCAAUACCGCGAGGUGGAGCAAAACUUCAAAACUCAUCUCAGUUCGGAUUGUAGGCUGAAACUC
This 538-nucleotide ribosomal RNA is filed under the name uncultured bacterium. Its description in RNAcentral is "bacterial SSU rRNA". It matches the Rfam family "Bacterial small subunit ribosomal RNA", at positions 767 to 1313 of the family's 1533-position model. The record is from RNAcentral.